Pteronotus mesoamericanus is the source of this 509-nucleotide long non-coding RNA. RefSeq lists it as uncharacterized. The record is from RefSeq and is a predicted model, not a curated record. NCBI's taxonomy places the organism in Eukaryota, Metazoa, Chordata, Mammalia, Chiroptera, Mormoopidae. The transcript has 3 exons.
GGCAUUGCCAUCAGCUGCCACCUCCCAGAAGUGGCUCCCUUGAAAAAUGUACAGUCGCUGUUGCCCGUCUGCCCAGAGAGAUGAGAGAGAGUAGAGCAGUGACCAUCAGCCUCCUGCCUUCCUUCCAGGGAGGGCACAUUCCUAGAACCCAGCUUCCGAAACUGACUGGAGAGGCAGCAGCGAGCCCGGCUGGGGCAGAAGGGAAGGUGUGCAGGAGAAAGCAGGGUUUUGCCUGGUGUGGGCUUGCUCCCGUGCUUUUGGCUUGGGAUUUCUGGAUUUUAUCAUUUAUACCCUCCCCCACCUUGAACUCCUGCCCUGGAGACCCCUGGAGAUGUGUGGGGACAAGGGAAGAGCCCGAGCACUGAAUUCAGAAGCCUUCUCGCCUGUCAGCCUGGGAAAGAGGCGCCAGAUUUCAGGGGAGCCCGAGAAUUGGGAAGGACCCGGGACGGAGGAGGCCAGAUUCCUGAGCUCCCGACAGGGGAUCCAAUUGGAGGAGCCGGUACCCGAGC